GGAGGGAGGGAAGAAGGAAGGAAGGAAGGAAGGAAGGAAGGAAGGAAGGAAGGAAGGAAGAAAGGAAGGAAGAAAGGAAGGAAGGAAGGAAAAAUUCAAAAUCUUUUUUGGGUUGAAAGUAACAAAAUACAUUAAGUUUUUUAAGAGCUGUACUUGUGGGUAGGGUUUAAGAUUUACAGCCGUGAUUAUCCCUUGCUUGCUGACGCAAAUUAGUCUUCUAGGAAGUUCAAGUUAUUUCUCAAUAAGCUUUAAUAGUCUCUGAGUCAGAGUGGGUGCUGAUGAUAAUGAGUCUUGUAGGAUUUAUAGGAAGGCGACUGAGAAAUAGAAGCCCAUGUCCACCAAAUAUCCUUUAAAAUAGUGUAAAAAAAAUCUCCUGAAUGAGAGCCUUUGUUCUAGCAGGGUCUUUCUGCUUCUUAGUAAAGAAAAUUCCCAUAGGAAAACUCUCUAAAAUCAGCUUCCAGCUCAGUGUGGUCUUCCUGAAUUCAUUCUUUGGAUUGUGGUGGUGGCACAGUCAGACCCAGAUGGGUGAUGAUGUUCUCUGGUCUUCACUGGACUACGUCUUAAGGGCUGUACAUUAUGUAGUAGAAGCAGUUUGGAUUGUCAAGUCUGGUCUAUCUCUAAGAGUGGAACUUUGUAUUGGCUUACCUCAUAAGGCUAUGCCUUACAUUGAAGAAUCAGAUUGUCCUGUCCUGUUUGAAUCUCCUUGUUUCAUAAUCUCUGUUUCUGUUGGUGCUGAAGCUACCCUGAGACCUGGCUCUGUUUCCUAAUAAACUUCUGAAUGGAGUACUCUAUAAUUAUGGCUGUCAGAGACAUAUUCCACAGUCUUCUGAACACAUUGACUGGUGUUCUCAAGUUGUUUGUACAUGCCAUCCAUGAAAAAAUAAAACAAUGGAAUGGAUAGAAUAUUGAUGUCAUCUUCCAAAGACUUUGCUCAGUCAGUUUUUGUCUACUGCCUAGUGUAUGUUGAGUAUCCUGGCUCAUUGCCAACUCUGGACUUAUCACUUAUUCGAGGAGUCUUUCCAGAAUAGGAGCAAAGGAAAACAGAGCAAAAUACUUGUUCUGGAAACAUCCUAGCCUUAUUUGAGUACAUCUGCCUCAACUCCUGAAGGUUAGCUCCCAGCAACAGGAGAGCAAAAACCUGUCAUGAGAACCCACAAAAGUCUGUUUAACAAUUUAUUUUGUAAGGAGUGAAAUGGAAAAACAAACUCAUGAAUACAGAACGAAGUAGACUCUGUCUUUGAUCUAGCUGCCAUCGUCCAGCCCUUCUGCCCAAGUGUGAAGAGGACCAACUGCAAGCUGCUUCUCUGCUACUUGCUCUGACUUGGACCACACAAAGAGAGAAGGAGAGCAACUCCCUCCUCGGUUUUAUCCAGUCAUGUAUUCAGAGAAAGCCAUGCCCAUAAGGCUAGUUACCCCAAAAGCCAUUGGCUAAAUGGAUCAAUUCAUCAAAUUCCCACAACAAAGACCUUAACAUCUAACUUUUUGUUCUUAUCUUCCUGUUCCUCCGAGCCAAGUUACUUAUCACAAAAAGGCUUCCUAGAAGAAAAUAGCAAUUUAGAAACAUAUGAAACAAUGCCAUUUAAGUGGAGCUGUCUGCUGUCUAAUGUGUUAUCUGUUUUUUUUUUUUUGACCAUUUGCAAUUAGAAUGAACAUUCCAAAAGGACCACAGAGCUCUGAAUCUGUGUUAGUAAAUUUGGUAACUGCUGUGUCACAAAUCCCAAAGAAGUAUGUAUUACCAGGAGAAAUACAAUACACAUUGAAUACACAGUCAAUGAAUAAUAUUAUCUGUCAUUUUCCAAAUUCUGAUCAUUUUGUAAAUUUACCUGCAGUUAGUAUAAAUCUCUGGUUCAUACAACUCUUUCAUACUAAAACUGUUUCUAAAAUAUGCUUAGAAAAACCUGGUUGCUGAACAUAGCAUCUCAACUCUUCCUCUGAGAUUCUGAUUCUCUAGGUCUGAGAUGGAGAUUGGUACUGAGAAGGGUGAAUGUGAUCAAAUAUGUGUUAUACAUGUCACUAUAAAGCCUAUAGUGUUGUAUAGGGAAUGUACAUCAAUAGCCGUUUGAAAAGGAAGGACUCAGAAGAUACAACUCAGUUAGUAAAGUUUUGCCACUCCAUUCUGAGGGCCUAGUUCCAUCCUCAGACCCCAUUGCUGGGCAAGUACUUGAAAUUCUAGCUAGCUUUGGGUAAGUAGAGACAGGGAGAUCCCCCAUGCUCACAGACCAGCAGCCUAGCAGAAUCAUCAAGAGACCUGCAUCAAAAAACAAAACAAAACAAACAAAAACAAGGUAGACAGGACCUGAGAACAACUUCCAAGGUUUACUCUGGCCUCUGUUCAAUCACAUACCUCCUUCCCCACACAUACAUACACACAAAGAAACACGAGCUCACAUACAAAACAAAUAACAUUUUAAAAGGAACUAUAUCUGCCUUAUAAGUUACUCCCAUUAUCAAGGAUACUCUUAUCACUAGGUUACUUUGAGCACUAUGACUUUAAAAAUACAAACUGUACAAAAGUAACUGCCCAAUAUAGCGUUUGUCAUCAACAAUAUGGAAUAAACUAGGACUUCCUUAUAUUGUUCUUGGACAAAGCCCAUGGAAAAACAUAUGGUAACUGGAUUCUGUCGUUUGUAUUUCUGUUUAUUGAACAUAUCAAUAAAAAUU
This 2661-nucleotide long non-coding RNA is filed under the name Cricetulus griseus (Chinese hamster). RNAcentral describes it as "lncRNA (ENSCGRG00000024295.1)". Lineage: Eukaryota; Metazoa; Chordata; Mammalia; Rodentia; Cricetidae. The record is from RNAcentral.